Molecule: long non-coding RNA, 497 nt
Organism: Megalopta genalis
Lineage: Eukaryota; Metazoa; Arthropoda; Insecta; Hymenoptera; Halictidae
Source: RefSeq, a predicted model, not a curated record
CGUGACAAGCGAGACGAGACCAGGCGGAGCGAGGGUAUCAGCGAAAUUAUUCGACGACCGAGUAACUUUAUCGUGUUUGCGCUGUCGUCCUUAGUUAAAACGUUCUGUCUACUAAUUUACCAGUUUUCAGGAUAUUUUGAAAUAUUUGGAACGUCGCACGCCUUUUACCUUUUUGGCGAAGCUAGAAUAUUCUAUCUUCUACUUCGUGGAGUUCCAAAUACACGUGCGUGUAACACUUGGACGCGUAUACCGAAAGAAGAGGUUAUGUUACAGUACGAAUAGAAAAGGAGUAGAUGGCGCAAGGGUGCGGCUUUAGGAUCAGUUCCUAAUAAGACAGAUUGUAUCUUUUUGAACUGAAAUACUAAAUUCUAUGCAGUUUUAUGAUCUACAUUUUGUGUGGAUUUUAGCUGUUUUCUUGCUCUUAUUUUAUUUUGUAGAGAACAUGUUGUACUCCUCCAAAGUAAAAUAUUAAAUGAAACAGAAGUUUACCAUUUUCA